Molecule: long non-coding RNA, 733 nt
Filed under: Monodelphis domestica (gray short-tailed opossum)
Lineage: Eukaryota; Metazoa; Chordata; Mammalia; Didelphimorphia; Didelphidae
Description: lncRNA (ENSMODG00000033346.2)
Source: RNAcentral
AACACUUGGCACCAAGCAGCUGGUAGAGAGCAGCCACAAAAACAAAACAAAAACCGUUGAUCCCGUUGCUAACCUAGGUGUUUAAAGAGAAGCAGGGGGACGCAAUGGGUAAGAACAAAGAAAUAUCAGUGGCAACAGGGCAGAGGAAAUAGGCGAAAUGCAAUCACAAGAACUUAAUAAAACUUGCUAGAGAGAGAUAUCAGAGAAAAUCCUAUGAAUCAGGAGCCAGAAGAAAAGGACUGGACUUCAUUUCUCAUUUAGAAGGGCUGCAGUUCAAUGAUCUGAGUCGAUGAAGAGUUUGAGCCAGAAUUGGCUUAUGUUGGGAUUGGGAAGGAAGGCUUUGGAAUCCUACAGAUUGACAGGAGCUGGAAUGCCAGUUUGAACAGCAAGGGAUUAUGGGAGAGAACCAUUGGCUGGGGGACAUUCUGAAGAGUGCUAGAUCUUCUGUGUCAAGACUGAAAGCUGAAAGGGGGUGGAGCCAAGAUGUCGGAGUAAUCCUCAGCAGCUCUGUGACACAAUGAGAAUCCUCUCCGACCAAGAUUAAAGUAUUGCCACAAAAUGAAUACAGGAGUGAAAGAACCAACAAGGAGACAAUGAAACAACUUUCAAGAAAAGAAAAACCCAAGAGGUCCAAAAAAUGUUUCCUUCUGAACUCUCAGACUAUUGCCUCUCUCUCAAGAAGCUGGAAAGUAGCAUACUUAAUCAAAUGUCUUCUGGAAUCAUGGUCGAUCCC